GACGAACGCUGGCGGCGCGCUUAACACAUGCAAGUCGAACGGAAAGGCCUGCUUUCCCUUGUGGAUUGCGGGUACUCGAGUGGCGAACGGGUGAGUAACACGUGAGUGAUCUGCCCCCAACUUGGGUAUAAGCCUGGGAAACUGGGUCUAAUUCCCGAUAGGACCGCAGGGUGGUGCCUGUGGUGGAAAACGAUUUUCUAGUGGUUGGGGAUGAGAUCGCGGCCUAUCAGCUUGUUGGUGGGGGAAUGGCCUACCAAGGCGGCGACGGGUAGCCGGCCUGGGAGGUAGGACGGCCCCAUUGGGACUGAGCUACGCCCCAGACGCGUACGGGAGGCAGCAGUGGGGAGUAGUGGACGAUGGGCGGAAGCCUGAUGCAGCGACGCCGCGUGGGGGAUGACGGCCUUCGGGUUGUAAACUCCUUUCGACCGCGAGGAAGCCACCUGGUUGGAAGGGUGGUGACGGUAGUGGUAGAAGAAGCACCGGCUAACUACGUG
This 494-nucleotide ribosomal RNA is filed under the name uncultured bacterium. RNAcentral describes it as "partial 16S ribosomal RNA". It matches the Rfam family "Bacterial small subunit ribosomal RNA", at positions 28 to 507 of the family's 1533-position model. The record is from RNAcentral.